This 460-nucleotide ribosomal RNA is filed under the name uncultured bacterium. RNAcentral describes it as "partial 16S ribosomal RNA". It matches the Rfam family "Bacterial small subunit ribosomal RNA", at positions 338 to 795 of the family's 1533-position model. The record is from RNAcentral.
CCUACGGGAGGCAGCAGUGAGGAAUAUUGGUCAAUGGACGAGAGUCUGAACCAGCCAAGUAGCGUGAAGGAUGACUGCCCUAUGGGUUGUAAACUUCUUUUAUAAAGGAAUAAAACGAGGCACGUGUGCCUUUUUGCAUGUACUUUAUGAAUAAGGAUCGGCUAACUCCGUGCCAGCAGCCGCGGUAAUACGGAGGAUCCGAGCGUUAUCCGGAUUUAUUGGGUUUAAAGGGAGCGUAGAUGGGUUGUUAAGUCAGUUGUGAAAGUUUGCGGCUCAACCGUAAAAUUGCAAGUGAUACUGGCAGUCGUGAGUACAGUUGAGGUAGGCGGAAUUCGUGGUGUAGCGGUGAAAUGCUUAGAUAUCACGAAGAACCCCGAUUGCGAAGGCAGCUUACUAAGCUGUGACUGACAUUGAUGCUCGAAAGUGUGGGUAUCAAACAGGAUUAGAUACCCCUGUAGUC